Molecule: ribosomal RNA, 305 nt
Filed under: uncultured bacterium
Lineage: Bacteria
Description: bacterial SSU rRNA
Rfam family: Bacterial small subunit ribosomal RNA
Source: RNAcentral
UUGUCCUACGGGGGGCAGCAGUGAGGAAUAUUGGUCAAUGGGCGGGAGCCUGAACCAGCCAAGUCGCGUGAGGGAAGACGGUCCUAUGGAUUGUAAACCUCUUUAGGCGGGGAGCAAUGCCGGGCACGCGUGCCCGGAGGGAGAGUACCCGCAGAAUAAGCAUCGGCUAACUCCGUGCCAGCAGCCGCGGUAAUACGGAGGAUGCGAGAGUUAUCCGGAUUUAUUGGGUUUAAAGGGUGCGUAGGCAGAUUUUUAAGUGAGAUGUGAAAUACUCGGGCUCAACUUGAGUGCUGCAUUUCAAACUG